This 448-nucleotide unclassified non-coding RNA is filed under the name Hevea brasiliensis (rubber tree). The record is from RNAcentral. Lineage: Eukaryota; Viridiplantae; Streptophyta; Magnoliopsida; Malpighiales; Euphorbiaceae.
AGGAGGAUCUCUUCCACAUCCGACCAGUAUGAGAAUUAGAUUUGAAUGUUUGCCUCUGCCUGAAGCACUAAGUGAUGUGGAAGUUGUAGAUUGAUGUGCUGGUGCUUCAACAACAGGUGAUGAAGCAACAAUAGGAGCUUGGGAAGGUGCUGGCGGCUCAAACCAGGUAAGAUUGAGGAGUCUGUAAUCACCCACGAGGGUGGAGUCAAAAUGAACCUUAUGUAAGGCAAGUGAAGAAUUUAUUGAAGACACAUCACUGGCAGAAAAGCUGAUUCCUGUAUGAGGAGUAAUAUCCAUUGAAAUAUUUAAUCUUGAUAAGCUGAGUACAUAAAAGUUGAUCAACUCAAUUUGAGAAACUAGCAAAUCAAGCUGGGAAGCUAAUUCUUGCAGAAAUUUUCCCCAGUUAGGACUUUGUGAAACAUUCAAAAGGAGAAGGUCAAGCUUUAUG